Molecule: long non-coding RNA, 775 nt
Filed under: Helianthus annuus (common sunflower)
Lineage: Eukaryota; Viridiplantae; Streptophyta; Magnoliopsida; Asterales; Asteraceae
Description: hypothetical non coding rna
Source: RNAcentral
UUCAAAAUUUUAGUUUUCCUCUUAUCUAUCUUAAACCGCAUAACCAGUUCACCCUAAAACCGCAUAUGAGACCUAAUUUCUGAUGCUCGUUUGUGGUUCUCGCCAUAAGGGUGAAGUGAUAGAUGUUUCAUUAUCAAAUUAACUCACCAUCAUAUCCGAUUUGAACUAGGGGUUAACAGCUCUCAUCCAACCAUCUUCUUGGUUCGUAUUAACAAAUUUCGGCAACAUCUCUGUUUUGCAGGUUACCAUCAGAUUGGACCUGGAUCUGGUACAAACAAACAUCUUAGAGAGGAUGCAGAAAUUGCUAUGCAAGGAUUCAUCAAUUUUGCUCAAUAUACAUCUAGUAUACAUCUCGCAGGUUUUUGAUAAAAUGUCAGCGUUUGAACUCACCUAAAAAUUAAGCGCUAAAUCAUUCAAAAUCCAAGAGAAAUCACCAGAAAGAAUUACUAAAAAUUUAGAAGAAGAAUUAAAUAAGCCGUAUAACUAGGGGUCUGCACGGGCGAUGUGGGAACAUCAGCAUGGUAAGGCUUCAGAUCUUUUAAAAAGCACAAGAAAGGGGGACAAUACUCCAUAAAUUUAUGGCCAUUUUACUUUGGGGUAUGAUGACAAGUGGAGUUUUGAGAAGAUGAUCAGAUUGAAUUAACAACUUUACUUGGAUUACUUUGUUAUUUUGAAGUUGGAAAUAUAUGUCAAAGUACAACAUAAGAUAUUUAUUACAUUUAUGUUAUUGUGCUGGUGUAAUUGAGAUACUAUUCCAUAUUAAUAAAAAUUUUAG